Molecule: ribosomal RNA, 251 nt
Filed under: uncultured bacterium
Lineage: Bacteria
Description: partial 16S ribosomal RNA
Rfam family: Bacterial small subunit ribosomal RNA
Source: RNAcentral
UACGGGGGGGCAAGCGUUGUUCGGAAUUACUGGGCGUAAAGGGUUCGUAGGUGGCCAAUUAAGUCAGACGUGAAAUCCCUCAGCUUAACUGGGGAACUGCGUCUGAGACUGGAUGGCUUGAGUGCAGGAGAGGAACGCGGAAUUCCAGGUGUAGCGGUGAAAUGCGUAGAUAUCUGGAGGAACACCGGUGGCGAAGGCGGCGUUCUGGACUGCAACUGACACUGAGGAACGAAAGCCAGGGAGCAAACGGG